This 334-nucleotide unclassified non-coding RNA is filed under the name soil metagenome. Its description in RNAcentral is "partial contains 5.8S ribosomal RNA, internal transcribed spacer 2, and large subunit ribosomal RNA". The stretch from base 1 to 120 matches the Rfam family "5.8S ribosomal RNA", at positions 35 to 154 of the family's 154-position model. The record is from RNAcentral.
GAUGAAGAACGUAGCGAAAUGCGAUAAGUAAUGUGAAUUGCAGAAUUCAGUGAAUCAUCGAAUCUUUGAACGCACAUUGCGCCCAUUAGCAUUCUAGUGGGCAUGCCUGUUCGAGCGUCAUUUCAACCCUUAAGCCCUGUUGCUUAGCGUUGGGAGCCUACAGUACUGUAGCUCCCCAAAGUUAGUGGCGGAGUCGGUUUCACACUCUAGACGUAGUAAUUUUUUCUCGUCUGUAGUUGAGCCGGUCCCCUGCCGUAAAACACCCAAUUUAUCAAGGUUGACCUCGGAUCAGGUAGGAAUACCCGCUGAACUUAAGCAUAUCAAUAAGCGGAGA